Long non-coding RNA from Astyanax mexicanus (Mexican tetra), 721 nucleotides. RefSeq lists it as uncharacterized. NCBI's taxonomy places the organism in Eukaryota, Metazoa, Chordata, Actinopteri, Characiformes, Acestrorhamphidae. The record is from RefSeq and is a predicted model, not a curated record. The transcript is spliced from 5 exons.
CGUAACCGGCGUUACGUAAUCACGCAGCCCUCGCCUCGAGCUCCAGCAGGCUAAUAUAAAUAAUGAUUUAUUUCUGUUCAGGAGAGAAACUGCGGCGGAGCUGGAGGAACAGCAGCCCACUUGAGAGGAGCUUCAGACCGGCCCUGAGGUGCCGGUAACGAGGGAGAUGUGGGAGUGGAGGAUGAAGAGGAGACAGAAGAGAUUGAGGAUGAAGGCAGUGAGGAAGAUGAGGAAGAUGGGGAGAAUGAAGAAGAGAUGAGAAGCGAAGAGGAGGAAGAGCAAGCCAACAGGGGGUGCACGGAUGAAGACUACACGCCUGAGGAGGAGGAUGAGGAAGAGGAGGAAGCUGAAUUACGUAUCACUGCACAUGAUUUCUGACCACAAAGAACAGCAGACUCAGAAGACACAAGACGCCAACAGAGCAAUUCCAGACGAAGAGAAGAGAAGAGCAGUGAAAUCAGGUCCUGAAACACCAGCCAGCGUUCUCUAAAACGAAGGUUCUACAAAGGGUUUUCUGAGCGAUGCCUAAGAAGAACCACUUUCAGAUUUGUUUUUAAAUGGGAUGUGGGUGUGAAGAACUUUUUACCCUGAAGACCUGAUGGACCUGGUGGAGCAGUUCAAGAUCUAAUCAUGUGGAACAUCAUGCUUAUGCACUUUCUGAAACCUUGCUUUUUUAGUGUGGCCUUAAAAUAACAAAGUAAAGAAAAACAUUUUUGAAAAA